AUGCGACCCUGCCAGGAAGUGCAAGCCGCGCUGCCCCGCUCGGCAGUGCAAGGAGACGCUUACCUUCUCCAACACAAGCCACUGCAAGGGGUGCGGACAGAAGCUGUGUUUGAAGCACAGGUUCCCCGCGGACCACGAGCGCGCGUGCGUGUCGCCCGCGGGAGCCGCCGCCGCCGUGAGGAGGGCCGGCGGCAACUGCUGGCGCGACGAGCAGAAGACCAAGGACGGCGGUGGGUGGGCGCUGCCGCCGUUGAUCCGGAAUUUCAAGAUGUUCUGAAUAGCCUCAAGCUAAAAAUUGUGGCUGGGAUCUGCAACGACGUUCCUCCAGUCCAUCGCCAACAGCUGCAUUCAUCCAAGGAUGAUGCAAGCCAUUUACCAGAAAGAAGAAGCAGAUUUUUGGCGAGGAUUACCUGCCUGGAGUGCAAGGCGGGGGCGCAGCGAGGAUCAGGCUGGCCAGCGGGGCGAGGACCAAGCUGGGGCGGAGGCGGCCAGGCUGGGGCGGUGGCGAGGACCGGGGCGGCGAGCUGGGUCGGAGGCGGCCAGGCUAGGACGGCGGCGAGGACCAAGCUGGGGCGGAGGCAGUCCUGCUGGUUGAGGGAGGAGGAGGAGGGGCUGGCGACGGGGACGAGCGCUGACCUGGAGGAAGAGGAGGCAAGCGCUGCCUGGAGGAAGACGACGACGAUCUGUUUUUAA
RNAcentral lists this ribosomal RNA (693 nucleotides) under Triticum aestivum (bread wheat). RNAcentral's name for it is "partial small subunit ribosomal RNA". Lineage: Eukaryota; Viridiplantae; Streptophyta; Magnoliopsida; Poales; Poaceae. The record is from RNAcentral.